RNAcentral lists this unclassified non-coding RNA (260 nucleotides) under Archaeorhizomyces sp. RNAcentral's name for it is "partial contains 5.8S ribosomal RNA, internal transcribed spacer 2, and large subunit ribosomal RNA". The stretch from base 1 to 69 matches the Rfam family "5.8S ribosomal RNA", at positions 84 to 154 of the family's 154-position model. The record is from RNAcentral. Lineage: Eukaryota; Fungi; Ascomycota; Archaeorhizomycetes; Archaeorhizomycetales; Archaeorhizomycetaceae.
GUGAGUCAUCGAAUCUUUGAACGCACAUUGCGCCUCCUCUUACAGGGAGGCAUGCCUGUCUGAGCGUCAUUUAAACCAAUAAACCCUUAUGGGUUUGUGCUGGGCCUCGUCUCUUUGCCUUAGACGUCGCCUCAAAGUCAUCGGUCUUAUGAGCGGAUGAGUUCCUUUAGGAUGGACCGUUCUGUGACCCUAAAUCUCUGACUUGACCUCAGAUCAGGUAGGACUACCGCCUGAACUUAAGCAUAUCAAUAAGCGGAGGA